UACGUAGGGGGCGAGCGUUGUCCGGAUUUAUUGGGCGUAAAGAGCUCGUAGGCGGUUUGGUAAGUCGGAUGUGAAAUCUCCAGGCUCAACCUGGAGGGGUCAUUCGAGACUGCUAUGACUAGAGUUCGGUAGAGGAGUGUGGAAUUCCUGGUGGAGCGGUGAAAUGCGCAGAUAUCAGGAGGAACACCCGUGGCGAAGGCGGCUCUCUGGGACGGUACUGACGCUGAGACGCGAAAGCGUGGGGAGCGAACAGG
Molecule: ribosomal RNA, 254 nt
Filed under: uncultured bacterium
Lineage: Bacteria
Description: partial 16S ribosomal RNA
Rfam family: Bacterial small subunit ribosomal RNA
Source: RNAcentral